Molecule: ribosomal RNA, 423 nt
Filed under: uncultured bacterium
Lineage: Bacteria
Description: bacterial SSU rRNA
Rfam family: Bacterial small subunit ribosomal RNA
Source: RNAcentral
UGAGGAAUAUUGGUCAAUGGGCGAGAGCCUGAACCAGCCCAGCCGCGUGAGGGAAGAAGGUACGAAGUAUCGUAACCCUCUUUUGUCAGGGAACAAAAGCGGGCCUGCGGGUCCGUCUGAGUGUACCUGAAGACAAAGCAUCGGAUCAAUCCGUGCCAGCAGCCGCGGUAAUACGGAGGAUGCGAGCGUUAUCCGGAUUUAUUGGGUUUAAAGGGUGCGUAGGCGGUGGAUUAAGUCAGCGGUAAAAGACCGGGGCUCAACCCCGGCAAGCCGUUGAAACUGGUCUGCUGGAGUUGGAGAGAAGUAUGCGGAAUGCGCGGUGUAGCGGUGAAAUGCAUAGAUAUCGCGCAGAACUCCGAUUGCGAAGGCAGCAUACCGGCUCCACACUGACGCUGAGGCACGAAAGCGUGGGUAUCGAACAGG